Molecule: long non-coding RNA, 3669 nt
Filed under: Homo sapiens (human)
Lineage: Eukaryota; Metazoa; Chordata; Mammalia; Primates; Hominidae
Description: HSALNT0389439
Source: RNAcentral
UUGCCCAGGCUGGUCUGGAACUCCUGAGCUGGACCGAUCCUCCUGCCUUGGCCUCCCAAAGUGCUGAGAUUGCAGGAGUAAUUGGGCAGUAUCUUUUAACUGCAGUGGAGAAGUGUCAACACUACUUUGGCUGUGGGACCAGGAUCCUGCUGCCUGGAGGCAGAUUGAUAUUUUUAUUUCACCUUUAAAGGAUGUACAGUAAGGGUGAGAACAUCUCGAUGAAAUCUCUGCAGUAAAUAACUCUUGGAUCCCUUUCCCAUACAAGUGAAAGGACAAAAGGAUGAUAUGCUGAGAUGGCCUCUUCACCUGCACCAAUGCCAGGGCCAGGGUGGGUCUCAGCUACCCACCCCCAGGAUUUAUGAGGAUGGUGAAGAGUGGAGAGGGGUUCCCAGCAAAGGAUUUAGCAUGAGUAAAAUCAAGGAGGGAUAGAAGAACCAUCCUGAGCUAGAGGAGGUUUGAGAAGGAGAAUACUGAGAGAUCAGCAAACUGAGGCUCAGAAAGUGGAAAUAGGAAGCACAGCAAAUGCUAAGAGGAUCAGAACCUUAUGGAUCCCAAUCCAGUGCUCUUUCCUCUACACCACACCACUGGCUACCCUUUCAGACAGAGCACAGAGCAGACAUUUAACCAACUUAGUCACAAUAUGUCAAGGGAGGAGAAAGAAGCCCACAUUGUGUGCCCUUUCUAGGCAUUUGCAUUAUUCUAAAUGUCUUGCACCUUUAAUAUGUUUCCAUUUGCAGACACUAGAAAAGUCCUGGGCACCCUGUGGGGUGAUGAGGGAAGAUGACGUGCAUGUGUGUGUGUGUGUGUGUGUGUGUGAUGGAGACAUGGCUUGGGUGGGUGCAGAGUUCCAACUCAGUUUUCCCUAUGGGAAGCCUGGGUGCCUAUCUCCUUGGCUUUUACCUUGACCAGGGAGGGUAAGCAGUUUCUGUUCAGGGCAGACUCACUGGAUCUCACUUUGGGAUUUGGGGACUUGGACUGGAGUUCUUUAUUUGAACUGUUACUCUUUUCUUCUUUUGUGGUCAAAAUCCUCCCCAUAAUGAUGGCUUUGGGGAGAGUUUUUGCUUUUCCUUCGACUAACUCUCUGUUGUCUCAGACUUUGCAGUGUGCACAUCAAGUUUCUCGGGGCCAAUCCUGGCUUUGUUUCUGGGACCUCUGCUGUUUAAAAAGAAAAAGAACAAAGUUGUUCUUGUCCUUCCAGAGAGCGAGUACAAUUUGCCAGGACCUCGGAAAGAUAGUGCUAUGUAGGAAUAGACUAUGAAGACUGCUAAAUUGCCCUGAUAGUGUAAGAAAAAUAUCAGAGUCAGGCCCCAGAGGUUGACCCUGCCAUCAACUCUCUGUGUGACCCUUUCUCUGAGCCUCAGUUUCUUCCCUGGGAAUAUGGGGAGUUGAGCAUGUUUUCUUUAAAGUGUUUUAAUUUUAGCCAUCUAAAAUCCCAUAUUUCUUUAUUAUGCGAUUUCUCCCUUGGUCCGAUGUAUUUAUUGAAAACUCCUUUUGUACAAAACGCUCUGCAACCCCCUCUUCCUUACCUCCUCAUAUGGAAUGUUCUAAAGCAUAGUCGCAAAGUAAUGUAUCUCAUUACACAUCUCAUUACAUAAGCAAUGAGAGGGAAUUUUAGCAUUAGCAUCAUGGCUAAGGGCAUGGGCUCUGGGGCGGACCUCUCUGAUUAGAAUCCUGGCUUCACCACAUAUUAGCUGUAUGACCUUGAGCUAGUUACAUAAUCUGCCUGGAUCUAAGUUUCCUCAACUGUGAACCUGGGGAUACUAAUAGUACUUAUCUUACUGGGUGGAGAGUAAAUGAGGUUAUCUGGUAAAUUGCUUAGCACCAGUAUCGGCACAUAAGAAAGCACUCAGUAAAUGUUAGCAAUGAUUGCAAUCAGAAUUUCUGUUUUGUUAUAUAUCUUAUCACUCUCCUGACUGAAAUUCCUCAUCCCCAUCCCCUCUGUUGCCCAUGCCUAUGGUACAAGCCACUUAGUGUGGCUCACAAUGUUCCCUCUGACAUGGACCCUGCCCACAUCUUGAGUUUCCAAUCCAUUCUUUUGCCAUAAAAACAAACAAACAAAAAAAGCCAAAAAACUGUGAAAACUCUCACUCCAACAGUACCCAACAGCUAACAAUUCUCUUAAAUUAUGACACGGAUUCCUCCUUAAAUGUCCUUGUAUAGGUGAGUACCUUUGCCCAGGAAUGUCUGCCCUCAUCUUAGCUUCAAAGCCUGGUCCAGAUGCGCCGUCAUCUGUGAUGACUUCUGUAACCCUGCAGGUUGUUCCAAGGACAACCACUUUCCUUGGAAAAAUGAAGCACCCAGAGCACACUAUCAUUGGAUGGAUCCCAUGGUGCUGACAAUAUUUGUUUACUAAUCAAACUUCUUUGCUGUGAGCUACCUGUGGUUGCUUAUUGCUCAUUUUCAUUUUUAUUCUUGGUGUCUAACACAGCUCCUGAGUUAACUCUGCUCCCAUCAAGCCAUCUCUGUCACACACAGAGCAUAGGGUUGGUUCUCAGUGAAAUUUGCUGAGUUCUACAUGAAACAAGAAAAAUAGAUGUUGGGCAUAUCAAGAGCAUAGAAUAAAUCAAGUGGUUUUGGGGUGGGGAUGCAGGAAUAAUCCAAGAAGAUUCACCAAAGAGGUAAAUCUAGAAGUGUGUUUGGAAGCUAGUUCAGGGUCUCCUGCAUGGGAGCAGGGGCCUUUGUGGGGCUCAUACCAGGUAUCUCAGUCCCUACUUGGAAACAAGGAACAAGUAUAUGUUCACCUAACCAAAAAACCCAAUCUAGGUCCCACCACUAUCCCUUUGCUCAUGUCUGGAACCGGGGAAACCCUAGGGCUCCUUAUCUCUAACCCCCUCAUACUCUCUCACAAGCACCAAGCCAUAGAUUUAACCUCCAAAAUAUCCCUCCAAUCCACCCACUUUGCUCAAUUUUCACUGCCACCAUCCCAGUCCAAGCUACAAUUACCCUUUGCCUAGAUUCUUUACCUGUAAUAACUUUCUAACUGAUGUGUUGGUAUUCACUCUAGAGCCCUGUGUCAGUUAGAAUUAGGUUAAACUAUGAGUAACAGAGACCCAAAAUUACAUGAAAAGUCUGCAGGUGAGAAGUUCAGGGCUGGCAUGGUGGAUUUGCUCCAUGGUGUUGUCAGGCACUGCAACCCCUUUUUAUUUUAAUGCCCUGACUUUUUUAUCUUGUCACCUCAUGGACCAAGAUGGCUGCUCCAGCUCUAGCUAUUAUAUCCCCAGUCCACACAGCAGGAAGGAGGACACUCCCAUUAAGGAUACUUCUUGGAUAGCACCCACUACUUUCAUUCACAUCCCACUGGCCCAAACUGAACAUUGUGGCCACUCCUAGAUGUAAGAGAGACUUGGGCUGGAGUCCUGUGCCCAUUGAAAGAUGAGAGGCACUGAUGAAGACAGGGAGUGUUGAUACUGGGUGACAAUUAGUGGUUUGUAUAAUAAAGCUCUACAAAAAGUUCAUUGUCAUUUCACUCUCCAGAUUAAAACACUUCAAUGGCUCUCAAAUUCUUUCAGAGUGAAAUUCAAACUCUUAAUAUGGCCUACUAGAUUCUUUAUGAUCCUCUUUUGCCUCAAGUCCCUAACCCCCAGCCCCUAUGCUGUAACCAUCUUCUCUCUCACUUUUUUUUUUUUUUUUUGCAUGUGCUAUUGCUGCUGUCAGAAACAUUAUUUGCAG